UCAUCACAAAUAUGUUCGUGAUUUUACUUCUUGCUGUAGUCGGAAUUUUGACGUAUUACAAAGUGGAUGGCUUUUAUCAAGGGCGGGUACCUUAUUUUUGUAAGGGAUACAAGAAAUUUCCGAAACCAAUAAUUUGUCGUUUUUAACUUAUCAUGGAUUUCGAAAAUAAAUAAAAUGACUGUUAUGAACUACGUAAAGGAAAUAUUAUUUAAAUCUUAUUAAUUGUUUCAAAAAGAAAUGAAUUUCUUUUUUUUUUUGUAAAAUAUAAGAUAAUUGAAUAAUUUCUCUGCUUCAGCAUUACGUGGUUUUUGAGAUUACGUUCUUAGAAAGCAUUUCGUUCAUAUUAUGCAUUUUAAAUAAAAAAGCCACGUAGUAUGGUUUUCGAUAAGAUAUUAGUAAUGUUACUUUCGUGACAUGUAAAGUUACGAUGUAGAUAUUUGCGUGUAUAUAAGACCAUGCAAAAGCAACUGAUACAGAAAACUAAUUUCAUUGACGUGAAAUACGUAACAAAUUUCAUCAUGAAAAGUACGUGCUUGAUUUUACUUUUUGCUAUAGCAGCAAUUUUGACAUUUUUCGGAGUUAAUGGUGAAUCAUUAGCUGAGCCAUUUGCUAUGCCAAUAACUAAUCCAAAGGCUACCCCAUUGGCUAAGCUCCCGCCUGGAUUCUCACCAUUUUGAAUUAUUUAAAUAACACUUUGUAUCCUAAAACAUUAUACAAUAAAAUUAUAAAAUUUUAUAAGAAUUUAAUCUUGUAAAUUUAUUUCCUUCCUCUUUAUUUACUGUUACUUGACAUAAUUCAUGAUAUAAUGUAAUUCCAUUAAUUAUUGAACUCGUAUGAAUGUAUUUGUUGAAUCAACCUAUUUGAAAUUUCACCUGUGCAAUAAUUUUACCUAUGCAAUUAUUCUUUCAAAAUUAUUUUUUUUAUUUGAAAUGCAUUUUAACAAUUCGAAAAUAUUUUUUGUCGAUUACUGAUUCGUCACAAUUUGGAUUAAAAUUUUUUCAAGUAUGUUUUUCAUAUUAUGCAAUAUUUUAAGACUGUUAUUAUCUGUUGAACAAUAAAAUUCCAUUUAUUAAUUACAUGGCAAUAUUUGGUAACGUAUUGUUGAAUUUUUUAAUAAUCAAUUCUAUUUGUAUUGUGUGUGUGAUUGCGACAAUUAAAAUACAUAUCUAUUCAUACUAUCUGUAUGAAAUUGAUAUACUGAUUUAUGAAUUCAUCAAAAUUAUAAUAUAUGUUAUUAUUUUUUUCUAUUAAAAAAUGUAUAUCUCUGUAGUACACAUAAACAUACUUAAUGUACUAUUAGACAAGAAUACAUUUACGUAUUUAUAUUUUGAAUUGUUACUUAACUAAUAAGCUAAUAAAUUAAUUUUUCGUCUUUCGGAUUAUAUAUUUUUUUCAACUAUGAUUGUAGGUUUAUACAUAAAAGUAUAUCUUUCACGAAAGAAACUGUUUAUGUUUGUACGUAAGAUUAUACUUUUCACGAAAGAAACUUUAUUCAUUCUCAAUAAAAAAGCAAUACUGCAUAAAUUUCGAUAAGAUAGAUAUUAGUCAUGUUAUUAUCGUGACACGUUUACUCAUGAAGUUGAUAUAUGCGUGUAUAUAAGACAGUGAAAAUGUAGAUGCUGCAAGAAACUAUCUCGCUUGGAGUCGAAUACAAAAUAAAAUUACAUUAUGAGAAUGAAGUUCUUGAUUCUACUUUUAACUGUGAUCAUAACUUUGACAUUCUCCAAAGUAAACUGCGUACCAAUUGCUGAGCCAUCGGCUGAACCAUGGGAUAAUAUUGAUCUCUGUGCGCAGUUAAAGAAACCAGGACAAAGUCCACCAAUAAUUUGCACUUAUCACUAAUCAUUAUUUCCAGAAAUAAGUAAAAUGUCUGUUA
Vespa mandarinia (Asian giant hornet) is the source of this 1876-nucleotide long non-coding RNA. The record is from RefSeq and is a predicted model, not a curated record. NCBI's taxonomy places the organism in Eukaryota, Metazoa, Arthropoda, Insecta, Hymenoptera, Vespidae.